AGUGAACGCUGGCGGUAGGCCUAACACAUGCAAGUCGAACGGCAGCACAGUAAGAGCUUGCUCUUACGGGUGGCGAGUGGCGGACGGGUGCGGAAUACAUCGGAAUCUACUUUUUCGUGGGGGCUAACGUAGGGAAACUUACGCUAAUACCGCAUACGACCUACGGGUGAAAGCAGGUGAUCUUCGGACCUUGCGCGAUUGAAUGAGCCGAUGUCGGAUUAGCUAGUUGGCGGGGUAAUGGCCCACCAAGGCGACGAUCCGUAGCUGGUCUGAGAGGAUGGUCAGCCACACUGGAACUGAGACACGGUCCAGACUCCUACGGGAGGCAGCAGUGGUGAAUAUUGGACAAUGGGCGGAAGCCUGAUCCAGCCAUACCGCGUGGGUGAAGAAGGCCUUCGGGUUGUAAUGCCCUUUUGUUGGGAAAGAAAAGCAGCAGGUUAAUACCCCGCUGUUCUGACGGUACCCAAAGAAUAAGCACCGGCUAACUUCGUG
Molecule: ribosomal RNA, 492 nt
Filed under: uncultured bacterium
Lineage: Bacteria
Description: partial 16S ribosomal RNA
Rfam family: Bacterial small subunit ribosomal RNA
Source: RNAcentral